This 296-nucleotide unclassified non-coding RNA is filed under the name uncultured fungus. RNAcentral's name for it is "sequence contains ITS2". The stretch from base 1 to 52 matches the Rfam family "5.8S ribosomal RNA", at positions 103 to 154 of the family's 154-position model. The record is from RNAcentral. Lineage: Eukaryota; Fungi.
AACGCAACUUGCACCCCUUGGUAUUCCGAGGGGUACGCCUGUUUGAGUGUCGUGAAUUCCUCCACCCACCAUCCUUUGUUGUGUUGGUUGGGCUGGGAUUUGGGGGUUUUUUGUGGGUCCUCUGUUGAUCCACUCCCCUUAAAUGUAUCAGUGAAGACCCAUAUGGUCCUUGGUGUGAUAGAUAUCUAUGCCAUGGAUUCACUUGGAUAGUGCUUUGCUUCGAACCGUCCCCUCAUAGGGACAGUCUAUAUCGAACACUUGACCUCAAAUCAGGCGGGACUACCCGCUGAACUUAA